UUAUCGGAAUGAGAACAAUUCAAAUCCUUUAACGAGGACCUAGCGGAGGGCAAGUCUGGUGCCAGCAGCCGCGGUAAUUCCAGCUCCGCAGGCGUAUAUCUAUGCUGCUGCGGUUAAAAAGCUCGUAGUUGGAUCUGCGUGCUCGGAACUGGUUGGCUCACUGAGUUCAAACUGGUCUCCGGCGCUUUAUUGGCUGGUUUUCCCUUGAUGCUCUUAACCGGGUGUCUUGGGUGGCUAGCACGUUUACUUUGAAAAAAUUAGAGUGCUCAAUACAGGCGUAAAGCCUUGAAUAGUGGUGCAUGGAAUAAUAGAAUAGGACCUCGGCUCUAUUUUGUUGGUUUUCGGAACGCGAGGUAAUGAUUAAGAGGGACAGACGGGGGCAUUCGUAUUGCGACGUUAGAGGUGAAAUUCUUGGAUCGUCGCAAGACGGACGACUGCGAAAGCAUUUGCCAAGAAUGUUUUCAUUAAUCAAGAACGAAAGUUAGUGGUUCGAAGGCGAUCAGAUACCGCCCUAGUUCUAACCGUAAACGAUGCCAACUAGCGAUUCGCAGGCGUUAAACAACGACCUUGCGGGCAGCUUCCCGGAAACGAAAGUGUUCGGGUUCCGGGGGAAGUAUGGCUGCAAAGCUGAAACUUAAAGGAAUUGACGGAAGGGCACCACCAGGAGUGGAGCCUGCGGCUUAAUUUGACCCAACACGGGAAAACUCACCCGGCCCGGACACCGUAAGGAUUGACAGAUUGAGAGCUCUUUCUUGAUUCGGUGGGUGGUGGUGCAUGGCCGUUCUUAGUUGGUGGAGCGAUUUGUCUGGUUUAUUCCGAUAACGAACGAGACUCUGGCCUACUAAAUAGUGGGCGGAUUCUUUCUGUCCGCAACACUUCUUAGAGGGACAAGCGGUGUUCAGCCGCACAAGAUUGAGCAAUAACAGGUCUGUGAUGCCCUUAGAUGUCCGGGGCUGCACGCGCGCUACACUGAAGGAAUCAGCGUGCUUUCUGACCUUGCCCGAAAGGGCUGGGUAACCCGAUGAAAAUCCUUCGUGAUUGGGAUAGGGACUUGCAAUUAUUUCCCUUGAACGAGGAAUUCCCAGUAAGAGUGGGUCAUAAGCUCGCGUUGAUUACGUCCCUGCCCUUUGUACACACCGCCCGUCGCUGCCCGGAACUGAGCCGUUUCGAGAAGAACAGGGACCGUCGUUGAAGGGCCUUAACGGGCUUUUCUCUGAUAGAAACUGUU
RNAcentral lists this ribosomal RNA (1228 nucleotides) under metagenome. RNAcentral's name for it is "SSU rRNA". It matches the Rfam family "Eukaryotic small subunit ribosomal RNA", at positions 506 to 1758 of the family's 1831-position model. The record is from RNAcentral.